AAAAGAAAGCAAGGGCGGACGGUGGAUACCUAGGCUCCAGGAGGCGAAGAAGGACGCGGCAAGCUGCGAAAAUCUGUGGGUAGGUGCAAGCAACCCUUGAUCCACAGGUGUCCGAACGGGGCAACCUAGCUGCCUAGUGCAGUUGCCUGGCAAAAGCCAGGGGCGAACGGGGGGAACUGAAACAUCUUAGUACCCCCAGGAAGAGAAAACAAACGUGAUACCCCAAGUAGCGGCGAGCGAACGGGGCAGAGCCUAAACCGACGGGGUUCCGGCCCUGUCGGGGUUGCGGGACUGAGCCGUGGUACUCGCGGGUCGACCGGAAGCGUCUGGAAAGGCGCGCCAUAGCGGGUGAAAGCCCCUUACGGGAAGACGGACGAGGCCUAUCAGCAUCCCAAGUAGCGCGGGACACGAGGAAUCCUGUGUGAAUCGGGCGGGACCAUCCGCCAAGGCUAAACACUCCCUGGAGACCGAUAGCGGACAAGUACUGUGAAGGAAAGGUGAAAAGCACCCCGAACAGGGGGGUGAAAUAGAACUUGAAACCGUCCGCCUACAAGCGGUAGGAGCCCGAUAGGGGUGACUGCGUGCCUUUUGCAUAAUGAUCCUACGAGUCCCUCCCGUUGGCGAGGUUAAGGGCUUGAGGCCCGGAGCCGGAGCGAAAGCGAGUCCUAACAGGGCGCGAAGUCAGGGAGAGGGGACGCGAAACCAAGUGAUCUACCCUUGUCCAGGAUGAAGGUCCGGUAAGACGGACUGGAGGUCCCAACCAAUAAGCGUUGAAAAGCUUCUGGAUGAGGUGAGGGUAGGAGUGAAAGGCCAAUCAAACUUGGAGAUAGCUCGUACUCCCCGAAAUGCCUUUAGGGGCAGCGUCGGGACAGUAACGUGUAGGUAGAGCGACUGGUUGGAUGCGAGGGCUUCACCGCCUAUCAAGUCCUGUCAAACUCCGAAUGACACGCUAUGAUUCCCGGCAGUGAGGGCGCGGGUGCUAAGGUCCGUGUCCGAGAGGAGAACAAUCCAGACCGCCAGCCAAGGCCCCGAAAGGGCAGUUAAGUUGGACUAACGAAGUGCGGCCGCAGAGACAGCUAGGAUGUUGGCUCGGAAGCAGCCAUUCAUUCAAAGAGUGCGUAACAGCUCACUAGUCGAGCGGCCGUGCGUGGAUAAUAAGCGGGCAUGAAACUGUCUGCCGAAGCUGCGGAUUUAUGGUAGGGGAGCAUUCCACCGGCGUCGAAGGCGGGCCGCGAGGCCUACUGGAGCCUGUGGAAAAGCAAAUGUAGGAAUGAGUAACGACAAGGGGGGCGGGAGGCCCCCCCGCCGAAAGACCAAGGGUUCCUGAUCAACGCUAGUCGGAUCAGGGUUAGUCUGGAGCUAAGGAUAAGGCGAAAGCCGAAGCCGAUGACGAUGCGGUUAAUAUUCCGCAACCCGCUGUAUGGGCGAUGUGGCGACGAAGCGAGCAAGGCUGUGCCCGGUGACGGAUAUCCGGGUAUAAGGCGGAAGGCGACGAAGGGUGCAGGCAAAUCCACACCCGAGCCGGAACCCGAAAGUACGGCGACCCUCCGGGGGAGCCGAUAUCAGCCGGAAGCGCUUCCAAGAAAACCCGCUAAGCUUAACCAUGCGGCGGCCAGUACCGCAAACCGACACAGGUGGUCCGGUAAGAGAAUACCGAGGCGUAUGGGAGAUUCACGGUUAAGGAACUAGGCAAAUUGACCCCGUAACUUCGGGAUAAGGGGAGCCCUCCUCCGGGAGGGCCGCAGAGAAAAGGCUCAGGCGACUGUUUAACAAAAACACAGGGCUAUGCUAAAUCGAAAGAUGAGAUAUAUGGCCUGACACCUGCCCGGUGCUGGAAGGUCAAGGGGAGAAGUCACGCGCAAGCUGCAGCUUCGAGCCGAAGCCCCAGUAAACGGCGGCCGUAACUAUAACGGUCCUAAGGUAGCGAAAUUCCUUGUCGGGUAAGUUCCGACCUGCACGAAUGGUGUAACGAUCCGAGCACUGUCUCAACCGUGAGCCCAGUGAAAUUGUAGUAUCGGUGAAGAUGCCGAUUACCCGCAACGGGACGGAAAGACCCCGUGAACCUUUACUGCAACUUAGCGUUGAGUCUGGGCAAUCGAUGUGUAGGAUAGGCCGGAGGCUUAGAAGGCGGCGCGCCAGCGCUGUUGGAGCCGACGUUGAAAUACGGCCCUUUGCUUGUCCGGGCUCUAACUCAGAGUGACUGAGGACCGCGCUUGGCGGGUAGUUUGACUGGGGUGGUCGCCUCCAAAAGCGUAACGGAGGCUUCUAAAGGUCCCUUCAGGACGAUUGGUAACCGUCCGCAGAGUGCAAUGGCAUAAGGGGGCUUGACUGGGAGGCCGACAAGCCGAACAGGUUGGAAACAAGAGCAUAGUGAUCCGGCGGUACCGCGUGGAAGGGCCGUCGCUCAAAGGAUAAAAGGUACUCCGGGGAUAACAGGCUGAUCCCUCCCAAGAGCUCAUAUCGACGGAGGGGUUUGGCACCUCGAUGUCGGCUCGUCACAUCCUGGGGCUGGAGAAGGUCCCAAGGGUUCGGCUGUUCGCCGAUUAAAGUGGCACGCGAGCUGGGUUCAGAACGUCGUGAGACAGUUCGGUCCCUAUCUGUUGCGGGCGUUGGAUGUCUGAGCGGGUCUGCCACUAGUACGAGAGGACCGUGGCGGACCGGCCUCCGGUGGACCAGUUGCGCCGCCAGGUGCACCGCUGGGUAGCUGAGCCGGGUCAGGAUAAGCGCUGAAAGCAUCUAAGCGCGAAGCCGUCCGCAAGAUUAGACAUCCCUUGAGGGUCGUCAGAGACUAUGACGUUGAUAGGCGGCAGGUGUAAAGGCAGCAAUGUCAAAGCCGAGCCGUACUAAUUGCCCGAUAGACUUUUCCGA
RNAcentral lists this ribosomal RNA (2868 nucleotides) under gut metagenome. RNAcentral describes it as "bacterial LSU rRNA". It matches the Rfam family "Bacterial large subunit ribosomal RNA". The record is from RNAcentral.